GGUAGUUCUAUUAAUGGGGUCAUUUAUUCAAAAUAUUACCGAUUAAACUGUUUCAUAAAAUUUAUGAUAUUGAUUUAGAUAACUGUGCAAUUUUAUCAUUCCUACCUAUGCGGAGUUCUGAUAGGAUGGUAGAAGGUGCAUCAUAAAUGUAUAUGACCCUCUUCUUCAUCACAAAAGCCGGUCAAAUCUGAACUCUUCUGUUUGAUGAAAAUAGUGCAAAAUAGGUCUAUAAAUUCAGAACAAGACGAGUUUCAGUGUUACUGGGUUUCUCUCAGUGUACCCAGAAAACAAGGAACACGAUCAAAUAGACAGAGUUCGAUAGUUAGGGUUUCGAAUUGAACUUACUUAGUCAUUGCAUUUCCACUUGCGUUUGAUUUUCCGGAGAAAAUCUUUCCUACGAUCACCCCUCUUUUUGUUUUUACCCAUUUUCCGAUAAAGGUUCGGUUUUUCCGACGAGAACUUUAGGAUGUUCCGGUGAUACGAAGAAAGUUUGAUUUUUUGGGUUUGGGGGAAUUACCAAUUUUGACACAAAGCCAAGGUUUUUAUUCAAGAGUUUUCAUCUCCUAAGAGAUAGGUUUGGUUUUUGAGUAUUGCUUCUGUUGAUGUUGCAUUCGAUGACUAAACAUGACUCCUUGUGAUUGAAAUUUGGGGUUAUUGUGAUUUUGUGAGGAAUUAAAAAAAAAGCAAUAAAUUAUUAUUUUUGAAUUUGGAUAUUGAUUUUUAUGUUCGCAUUCUGGGAGUAUUUUAUGUGCCUGAGUUAUGGUGCUUUGAUUAAGUGGGAUUAAUGAAGUUAUGAAAAAAUCUUUCUUUUUUUGGUUUUUAAUUUCUGACAUUUAAUUUUGGGUACGAGUCAGUUAAUCUAGUCUGAGUUCUUCAGCUUUGCUAAAUUGGGUUUGAUUUUUCAGAAAACUUUUACAAAUUCACUGCAUCUGUUUUAUUAAAGUUUUUUUUGGAUUUUAUCAGUUAUUGAUAUUAUUGGGUUUGUUGGGUUGAAUUUAAUUAUGCUCUGAGAGUUUAAUGGUUUUCAAUUGAUUUUUGUUUUGUUAAUCAAUGCAUCAUUUCCUAAUAUAGUGGUUACUGCAACAGGCAGGAACCACAGGCUAUUUCAUCUCACAGUUUUUUUGGUCUCCAAGUGUGACUUUUCUCUAAUUUCUGUCAUAAAUCCUUGGCUUCUGAAGUGCUUCAUCACUCAUUGCAACUCAUUCAGUCUUGAAAGUUGAAUCAGUAUAGUGGAACAAAUUGGAACUAUGGCUGUCUCUUUUACACGUUUGUCACGGUGGUUAUGGGGUAGCAAGGAGAAAAAGCAUGUUGUUUCGAAGAGUUCUCCGCCGAAUUCAACAUCUUCGGAACGAGCAAGAGAGACUGUGAAGUUUCCUUUGGCGAAGGGAACAAAGAUAACAUCUCCAUCUCACCGAAAGGUUACGAGGAAAUGGCCGAGCCGGGAAGAGAGGAACAUUUUUAGAGAGUCAGAUAUUGUGUUGGUGCCAUCUGAUGGUGGUGGUUGUUUGUCUGGCUAUGAAUCUGAUGGCUCAGAUUGGUCAAUUGGGUGGUUGGAGCCUCAUGGCUCUGAUUUUCAGAGUGAUGAUGAGUCAGAUAAUAGUUUUGCUGUCCUUGUUCCUUGCUAUAGACAUGGUUGCAAGGAGGUGGAGAGUUCAAAUAAUGAGCUUUUGAGUGCCAUCAAGAAUCUCCCUAAUGAAUUAUCUUCUGGUAAGAUUCAGAACCUGCUCUUGAAACAUGUAACUUGUUUUCCCUUUGUUGUGUGUUUUUGUUCUCUUUUAAACUCCUUAGCACUGUUUAACCCUUUUCAUAUUCUUGUUAUUUAAGGACUAACAAUGUGUGAUUAAAUUUUUAUCAAGCAAUGUUCAAAACUCAGUAAAUAAACAAGCAUACUCCAACAACGUAGCUAGAUUAAGCGAUGUCCGAAAUGCUAUCAACAAUCAAGCUUUCUCAAACAAAGUUUCAAAGGUCUCAGAUGUUCGCUCAUCAGUUGAUAACCAAGCCUUAUUAUCAAAUGUUGCUAACACCCUCAAAGCCAUCCGAUCAAGCAAUGUCUUGAACUCAGUCAACAACCAAGCUUCUUCAGUCAAUGUUGCCAACAGUAACAUCCGAUCAAGCGCAGUAAACAACAAAGCCUCAACCGCCUCAACUAAUAACCAAGCAUACUCCAACAAUGUUUCAAAGGUCUCAGAUGUCCGAAGCUCAGUUAAUAACCAAGCUUCAUCAUCAAAUGUUGCUAAUUCCAGCAAUGUUAACCGAUCAAGCAAUAUCCAAAGCUCAGUCAAUAAGCAAGCUUCUUCAUCAAACGUUGCAAACUCAAGCAACGUCAACCGAUCAAGCAAUGUUCAAAACUCAGUAAAUAAACAAGCAUACUCCAACAACGUAGCUAGAUUAAGCGAUGUCCGAAAUGCUAUCAACAAUCAAGCUUUCUCAAACAAAGUUUCAAAGGUAUCAGAUGCUCUAAGCUCAGUUAAUAGCAAAAUCAGCUCAUCAAACAUUGCUAACUCCAGCAAUGUUAACCGAUCAAUUAAUGUCUCAAGCUCAGUCAAUAAGCAAGCUUCUUCAUCAAACGUUGCAAACUCAAGCAACGUCAACCGAUCAAGCAAUGUUCAAAACUCAGU
RNAcentral lists this long non-coding RNA (2618 nucleotides) under Lupinus mutabilis. Its description in RNAcentral is "partial ncRNA". Lineage: Eukaryota; Viridiplantae; Streptophyta; Magnoliopsida; Fabales; Fabaceae. The record is from RNAcentral.